RNAcentral lists this unclassified non-coding RNA (687 nucleotides) under Zea mays. Its description in RNAcentral is "misc RNA Zm00001eb036090". The record is from RNAcentral. Lineage: Eukaryota; Viridiplantae; Streptophyta; Magnoliopsida; Poales; Poaceae.
CUGUCGCACCCCACCCGCCUCGCCUCGUCGGCUCACGGACAGAGCGGUGACAACUCCUCCGCCUCCUUCCUGGCCGCUGAGGGCCAAGACCGCGAUAGCGAGCGGUCCACCUCCACUGCGAGAGGAAGGCGCAGGCCUCUAACUCGCCUUCUUGGCGGUGCCACCCAGGAUGGCAUGAGCGGCGGCGACGACGCCUCCUGGCCAUCGACAUGGGCCACAGCUCCACCCCGACGUGCUUCUCUGUGCAUUGGCACUUCUUCGUCCUUGGGUAGGACUAGGCCGCAGCAAAGCGCCGAACACAGGCCGACAACGAUGCCAUUGCUGCUCCCUAGAUUCACUUCACAUCGUCCAUGGCCGCCGCUGCUCGCGUGGCAAUCUCACGGCCCCCACCUCUCCCUCUCCCUUCCUCCUCGAGCAGCAGGGCGUGUAACCUGGUUGCUGGGAGGAGCAGCGACCCCAGCGCCACCGCUCGCGCGGCCCUCCCGGCUCCCGCAGCCCCCACCUCUCCCUUUCCCUUCCUCCUCCAACAGCAGGAUGCGAAACCUGGUGGCUGGGAGGAGCAGAGACCCCGGCGUUAGGGCUUCUACCUCCACCGCUGGCGCGUAUAAGACCACCGCGUCGACAACCUCAGGCGCCACCGUGUUUACGGCCCCAACCGCCACGACGAGGGGACGCCGGCAAGGUUGA